Non-coding RNA from Camillea tinctor, 122 nucleotides. Lineage: Eukaryota; Fungi; Ascomycota; Sordariomycetes; Xylariales; Graphostromataceae. The record is from the annotation of a GenBank genome assembly.
GGGCUUGUGGUCUAGUGGUAUGAUUCUUCCUUAGCAUAGAUGUCUGAAGAUCACCAUCGUGUGGUUCUCUAAUUCUGUACUUAACCUGGAAGAGGUCCGGGGUUCAAUUCCCCGCGAGUCCA